AACGAACGCUGGCGGCAGGCCUAACACAUGCAAGUCGAACGCUCCGCAAGGGGAGUGGCGCACGGGUGAGUAACACGUGGGAACCUACCUUCUGGUACGGAACAACCAAGGGAAACUUUGGCUAAGACCGUAUACGACCUCCGGGUGAAAGAUUGAUCGCCGGAAGAGGGGCCCGCGUCCGAUUAGGUAGUUGGUGGGGUAACGGCUCACCAAGCCUUCGAUCGGUAGCUGGUCUGAGAGGAUGACCAGCCACACUGGGACUGAGACACGGCCCAGACUCCUACGGGAGGCAGCAGUGGGGAAUAUUGGACAAUGGGCGCAAGCCUGAUCCAGCCAUGCCGCGUGAGUGAUGAAGGCCUUCGGUUG
This 366-nucleotide ribosomal RNA is filed under the name uncultured bacterium. Its description in RNAcentral is "bacterial SSU rRNA". It matches the Rfam family "Bacterial small subunit ribosomal RNA", at positions 29 to 425 of the family's 1533-position model. The record is from RNAcentral.